AGCAGUCGCCGCGGUAAUACGAAGGGGGCUAGCGUUGUUCGGAUUUACUGGGCGUAAAGCGCACGUAGGCGGAUCGAUCAGUCAGGGGUGAAAUCCCAGAGCUCAACUCUGGAACUGCCUUUGAUACGGUCGAUCUGGAGUAUGGAAGAGGUGAGUGGAAUUCCGAGUGUAGAGGUGAAAUUCGUAGAUAUUCGGAGGAACACCAGUGGCGAAGGCGGCUCACUGGUCCAUUACUGACGCUGAGGUGCGAAAGCGUGGGGAGCAAACAGGAUUAGAUACCCCAUAGUCCCUGUCUCUUAUACA
Molecule: ribosomal RNA, 303 nt
Filed under: uncultured bacterium
Lineage: Bacteria
Description: partial 16S ribosomal RNA
Rfam family: Bacterial small subunit ribosomal RNA
Source: RNAcentral